Molecule: ribosomal RNA, 543 nt
Filed under: Proteus vulgaris
Lineage: Bacteria; Pseudomonadati; Pseudomonadota; Gammaproteobacteria; Enterobacterales; Morganellaceae
Also listed under: 1 other name
Description: partial 23S ribosomal RNA
Rfam family: Bacterial large subunit ribosomal RNA
Source: RNAcentral
GGUUAAGCGAAUAAGCGUACACGGUGGAUGCCUAGGCAAUCAGAGGCGAUGAAGGACGUGCUAAUCUGCGAUAAGCGUCGGUAAGGUGAUAUGAACCGUUAUACCCGACGAUUUCCGAAUGGGGAAACCCAAUAUCCAAUGGAUAUUAUCAUUAACUGAAUACAUAGGUUAAUGAAGCGAACCGGGAGAACUGAAACAUCUCAGUACCCCGAGGAAAAGAAAUCAACCGAGAUUCCCCUAGUAGCGGCGAGCGAACGGGGAACAGCCCAGAGUCUUAAUCAAUAGCAGCAUCAGGAGAACGGUCUGGAAAGUCCGGCAGUAAAGGGUGAUAGCCCCGUAUCCGAAGAUGCUGUUAUUGUGAACUCGACGAGUAGGGCGGGACACGUGUUAUCCUGUCUGAAUAUGGGGGGACCAUCCUCCAAGGCUAAAUACUCCUGAUUGACCGAUAGUGAACCAGUACCGUGAGGGAAAGGCGAAAAGAACCCCGGCGAGGGGAGUGAAAAAGAACCUGAAACCGUGUACGUACAAGCAGUAGGAGCCCCA